Molecule: ribosomal RNA, 440 nt
Filed under: uncultured bacterium
Lineage: Bacteria
Description: partial 16S ribosomal RNA
Rfam family: Bacterial small subunit ribosomal RNA
Source: RNAcentral
CCUACGGGUGGCAGCAGUGGGGGAUAUUGCACAAUGGGGGCAACCCUGAUGCAGCGACGCCGCGUGUGGGAAGACGGUCCUCUGGAUUGUAAACCACUGUCCUCAGGGACGAAGAUGACGGUACCUGGGGAGGAAGCUCCGGCUAACUACGUGCAAGCAGCCGCGGUACUACGUAGGGAGCGAGCGUUGUCCGGAAUUACUGGGUGUAAAGGGAGCGUAGGGGGGGAUGAAAGUUGGGUGUAAAAACUACCGGCUCAACUGGUAGUCGCACUCAAAACUGCAGCUCUUGAGUGAAGUAGAGGCAGGCGGAAUUCCUGGUGUAGCGGUGAAAUGCGUAGAUAUUAGGAGGAACACCAGUGGCGAAGGCGGCCUGCUGGCGUUUUACUGACGCUGAGGCUCGAAAGUGUGGGGAGCAAACAGGAUUAGAUACCCUUGUAGUC